GUCUACGGCCACGCCACCCUGAACGAGCCCGAUCCCGUCUGAUCUCGGAAGCUAAGCAGGGUCGGGCCUGGUGAGUACUUGGAUGGGAGACCACCUAGGAAGGCCAGGUGCUGGAGGCG
Molecule: ribosomal RNA, 119 nt
Filed under: Pteropus alecto (black flying fox)
Lineage: Eukaryota; Metazoa; Chordata; Mammalia; Chiroptera; Pteropodidae
Source: RNAcentral